GGAAGGAUCAUUAACACGUUGCCUAAACAACGUAAACCAACGGUUGGCUUACUGCGGUGUAAUGAUUUUUUUCUUUUUCCCUUAACGGGACGAAGACAAAGUCUGACGCGGUGGGUAGUUGCGCUCCCUUUUUUACCCUGUGUAUUGUCUGUACAACUUUUCGGUUGUAAAAGUAUUAAAAAAAAAAUACAACUCUUAGCAACGGAUAUCUAGGCUCUCGUAUCGAUGAAGAACGCAGCGAAAUGCGAUACGUAAUGCGAAUUGCAGAAUUCAGUGAAUCAUCAAAUCUUUGAACGCAACUUGCGCUCUUGGGUUAUGCCUGGGAGCAUGCCUCUCUGAGUAUCACCUUCACAACAACUCGGCUGCGUGCCGGAAAUUGACGUGUCUGCGAGGGCGCCCUUUUGGGGGCGGUCUUUGUAGUCCGCCUAAGCUUAGUGUGGUGGCUUCUUGUGUUUCUUCUGGACACUUAUGGCUGCUCAUGUGCGGUAGUUUUCGCAUGGAAAUUGCGAAGCAAUAAUUCCACACAUUUGGUAUGCGGUCGUCUGGUUGCGAUGCUUGUAGUUCUCACAAACUAGGAAAAAAACAAAGGGCAGAAUUUUUCUGCCCCUUAACAUUGAUCUCAGAUGAAGCAGGAAUACCCGCCGAAUUUAAGCAUAUUAUUAAGCGGAGGAAAAGAAACUAACAAGGAUUCCCCUAGUAACGGCGAGUGAAGCGGGAAUGGCUCAACCUGAAAAUCGUCGUGCCAAGCGGUACGUUCGAAUUGUGGGCUAGAGGUGGCUUAUCAGCGCGUGGCCCGGGUACAAGUCUUUUGGAACGAAGUAUCACAGAGGGUGAGAAUCCCGUCUCUGACCCGGAGUCCGCCGCGUACGAGGGCUGCUCAUUGAGUCGAAUAGCUUGGGAAUGCUGUUCUAAUGGGAGGUAAAUUUCUUCUAAAGCUAAAUACCGACGAGAGACCGAUAGCAAACAAGUACCGCGAGGGAAAGAUGAAAAGAACUUUGAAAAGAGAGUUAAAAAGUACUUGAAAUUGCUAAGAGGUAAGCACUGAAAACCAGUUGGGCCUGAUGCAUAUUCCCGUUUGGCGGUUUGACUGAUUCUUGACUGAGACCCUCCGGCCCAGUUGCUAUCAGAUUAAGUUGUCCAGGCGGCCACAAUGUAUCGGGUAUGUCAGCAUCAGUUCGGGCUGGAGCAGAAGGUUGUGGUCAAGGUAGUUUGUAUCUUCGGAUGCAAAAACUAACAUGGGCUGCAGUUCUUAUAUACUCUGGUGACCAGACUGAGGAAAAAGCUAAUGCACGCCUGCUGGCUGCAUUGUGUAUGCCCUGCGGCCGCAUCUGGUCUUUCAGCACAAAGUGCUAGAGGUUUUGAUGAGGUUGUACUGGUUUAUACAAUGACAUGUGCGUUCGCGAUGUUGACAAAAUGGUUUUCAAUGGAUCGUCUUGAAACACGGACCAAGGAGUCUAACAUAUAUGCGAGUAUUUGGGUGAACAAAACCCUGAUGCGUAAUGAAAGUGAAAGUGACAACUUUGUUGUCGCCGAGGUAGGAACCGUUGAUCUUUCGGGAUUGGCGGAGCACUAUCGACCGAUCGCUCACUUGUGAGAGAUUCGAGUAAGAGCAUAUCUGUUGGGACCCGAAAGAUGGUGAACUAUGCCUGAGCAGAUCGAGGCCAGGGGAAACCCUGGUGGAGGAUCGUAGCGAUACUGACGUGCAAAUCGUUCGUCUGACUUGGGUAUAGGGGCGAAAGACUAAUCGAACCAUUUAGUAGCUGGUUCCCUC
RNAcentral lists this unclassified non-coding RNA (1771 nucleotides) under uncultured fungus. RNAcentral describes it as "sequence contains 18S rRNA gene, ITS1, 5.8S rRNA gene, ITS2, 28S rRNA gene". The stretch from base 615 to 1771 matches the Rfam family "Eukaryotic large subunit ribosomal RNA", at positions 1 to 961 of the family's 3401-position model. Lineage: Eukaryota; Fungi. The record is from RNAcentral.